Molecule: ribosomal RNA, 394 nt
Filed under: uncultured bacterium
Lineage: Bacteria
Description: partial 16S ribosomal RNA
Rfam family: Bacterial small subunit ribosomal RNA
Source: RNAcentral
AUACGGAGGAUGCGAGCGUUAUCCGGAUUUAUUGGGUUUAAAGGGAGCGUAGGUGGGAUAUUAAGUCAGCUGUGAAAGUUUGGGGCUCAACCUUAAAAUUGCAGUUGAUACUGGUUUCCUUGAGUACGGUACAGGUGGGCGGAAUUCGUGGUGUAGCGGUGAAAUGCUUAGAUAUCACGAAGAACUCCGAUCGCGAAGGCAUCUCACCGGGCCGGAACUGACACUGAUGCUCGAAAGUGCGGGUAUCAAACAGGAUUAGAUACCCUGGUAGUCCGCACAGUAAACGAUGAAUACUCGCUGUUUGCGAGACACGGUAAGCGGCCAAGCGAAAGCGUUAAGUAUUCCACCUGGGGAGUACGCCGGCAACGGUGAAACUCAAAUGAAUUGACGGGGG